GACGAACGCUGGCGGCGUGCUUAACACAUGCAAGUCGAACGGAAAGGCCCUGCUUUUGUGGGGUGCUCGAGUGGCGAACGGGUGAGUAACACGUGAGUAACCUGCCCUUGACUUUGGGAUAACUUCAGGAAACUGGGGCUAAUACCGGAUAGGAGCUCCUGCUGCAUGGUGGGGGUUGGAAAGUUUCGGCGGUUGGGGAUGGAUUCGCGGCUUAUCAGCUUGUUGGUGGGGUAGUGGCUUACCAAGGCUUUGACGGGUAGCCGGCCUGAGAGGGUGACCGGCCACAUGGGGACUGAGAUACGGCCCAGACUCCUACGGGAGGCAGCAGUGGGGAAUAUUGCACAAUGGGCGGAAGCCUGAUGCAGCAACGCCGCGUGCGGGAUGACGGCCUUCGGGUUGUAAACCGCUUUCGCCUGUGACGAAGCGUGAGUGACGGUAAUGGGUAAAGAAGCACCGGCUAACUACGUG
Molecule: ribosomal RNA, 468 nt
Filed under: uncultured bacterium
Lineage: Bacteria
Description: partial 16S ribosomal RNA
Rfam family: Bacterial small subunit ribosomal RNA
Source: RNAcentral